RNAcentral lists this transfer RNA (69 nucleotides) under Hydrolagus affinis (small-eyed rabbitfish). RNAcentral describes it as "tRNA-Ser". Lineage: Eukaryota; Metazoa; Chordata; Chondrichthyes; Chimaeriformes; Chimaeridae. The record is from RNAcentral.
GAAUAAGACUGAGGAGUCACCAAGAACUGCUAAUUCUUGAACCCAUAGUUCAACUCUGUGGCUUAAUUA